AGCCACGAGUCAAGUCAAGUUGCUAUAAAGUAAUAGUAUUAAAAGUAGUAGUAUAGGAUGAGUUUAGUUUUAUGGUGGAACAUGUGUGUGGACCACAUCUUAACAAACGUGUGUGUGGACCACACCUGGUGACAAAAUGGUGGCCUUUUGUGUGGAACACAAAUGGCGGGAAAAUUGAUAGGGAUGUCCCAGCUGAAUGUGCUUUUCUACUGUUCUAAGGCAGAUAUAAAUGCUUGUUUGAGCCAUACAUUGUAGAUUGUCAUUUGCAUUGAGGACAUAUGUCAAACAAAGACUUAGUUGUCUGUUCAUCCAAUAAUCUGUAAAUUAUACCUCCUCUCACAGCAAAAAGGAUCGCCGCAUUGUUCACUGCCUUCUGUGCCAGAAGCCUCAGGACAGCUUGCCCACCCACCUUCUCAGAACCUGCAUGAAAAAUGCUUCUCCUGAAGAAAGACAGGCAGAGGUGAAGAGAGCCAAAGAAAGUAUGAGAACCUGGACUCGCUACCAGCGCAACUGGGACUACAUGGACUUGUGCAGCAUUUUCCCUGACCAGGUCACCAGAUGGAACAUGGUCCGAAACCUGAGGGAAAGGGGCUUCUUUGUGUCUGGUGCGCCCUCUGACCAGGAUAUCGAGGAGGCAGCGGCCAGGCGGGAGAGGGCGGCUGCAACGGCCAUCAGGACAACGCGGGCCACUGUUUCUAGUACCACUCCUACUAUGGAAGCGGUGCCUGCAGUAGGCAAAAGCACUGGGGCUUCAGAAUCAUCUGAAUCCGAUGGUGGUGACGCUGGGGAUUCAACAAGUCCUUUGAUGACAAACAAGGAGAGGGAGUUGUGGCACGAAGCAUUUUGCAAAGGGCUCGAUUAUAUGUGACUGCCACAGAGAACUGAUCUGUGGUGAGGAAGGUGACGCCAUCCUAAAGGCCACACCACAAGAUACCAUGGGAUAUUUGAAUCGUUCGAGGAAGAACCCCAACGCUAAACCUCUCCACUGCAAAAUACAGUUUAGCAGUGGAGUGAAGGACACCUUGUUGCUCGUGGCAGCAAAAUACAUUGCUGUGGGUGAUGAACUCAAAUGUGAUUAUGGGGUGAAUAGGAAGUCCUUUCGUGGGGAAGGACUUGACCUUGAGUGGCUAGAUGAAUAAUUUGAACAAUCAUCUCUUCCUGGUCUGCUGUCAGAUUUAAGGAUUAUAGCAGACACUGCUUGCCUUAAGGUUUUUUGUAGAAAGAAAUAAUUCUAUAUUUUUAAUGUCAAAUUUUUAAAAUGACAAUGUAGAACAUGCUACUCUGUCACAGCUUGGAAGUUUUUAAUGAUUAUUUUUAUAUUUUGUGUCAAACAAGAUUUUUAAAGUUGUUUUACUUUGACACAAUAUGUAACUGAUGGUAAAUACUGUUGUGAACAUGUAUACUCUGUAAAUAAUAAAAAAAAAAUUCUUCUUUUACA
This 1438-nucleotide long non-coding RNA is filed under the name Betta splendens (Siamese fighting fish). RNAcentral's name for it is "lncRNA (ENSBSLG00000013214.1)". Lineage: Eukaryota; Metazoa; Chordata; Actinopteri; Anabantiformes; Osphronemidae. The record is from RNAcentral.